UACGGGGGGGGCAAGCGUUGUUCGGAAUUACUGGGCGUAAAGGGCGCGUAGGCGGCCUGCUAAGUCGGACGUGAAAUCCCUCGGCUCAACCGGGGAACUGCGUCCGAUACUGGCGAGCUUGAAUCCGGGAGAGGGAUGUGGAAUUCCAGGUGUAGCGGUGAAAUGCGUAGAUAUCAGGAGGAACACCGGUGGCGAAGGCGGUUCUCUGGGCCUGUACUGACGCUGAGGAACGAAAGCGUGGGGAGCGAACAGG
This 253-nucleotide ribosomal RNA is filed under the name uncultured bacterium. RNAcentral's name for it is "partial 16S ribosomal RNA". It matches the Rfam family "Bacterial small subunit ribosomal RNA", at positions 524 to 776 of the family's 1533-position model. The record is from RNAcentral.